Molecule: transfer RNA, 73 nt
Filed under: Cryptosporangium arvum DSM 44712
Lineage: Bacteria; Bacillati; Actinomycetota; Actinomycetes; Cryptosporangiales; Cryptosporangiaceae
Rfam family: tRNA
About the family: Transfer RNA (tRNA) molecules are approximately 80 nucleotides in length. Their secondary structure includes four short double-helical elements and three loops (D, anti-codon, and T loops).
Source: Rfam by way of RNAcentral
UCCCUCGUCGCCCAAUUGGCAGGGCAGGCGGCUGUUAACCGCCACGGUGCAGGUUCGAGUCCUGCCGGGGGAG